This 431-nucleotide ribosomal RNA is filed under the name uncultured bacterium. Its description in RNAcentral is "bacterial SSU rRNA". It matches the Rfam family "Bacterial small subunit ribosomal RNA", at positions 58 to 521 of the family's 1533-position model. The record is from RNAcentral.
CAAGUCGAACGAGAAAGCGUAGCAAUACGUGAGUAAAGUGGCGCACGGGUGAGUAACACGUGACUAACCUACCCUUGAGUGGGGGAUAACUGAGGGAAACCUCAGCUAAUACCGCAUAAUACCUACGGGUCAAAGGAGCAAUUCGCUUAAGGAGGGGGUCGCGGCAGAUUAGCUAGUUGGCGGGGUAAUGGCCCACCAAGGCGAUGAUCUGUAUCCGGCCUGAGAGGGCGCACGGACACACUGGAACUGAAACACGGUCCAGACUCCUACGGGAGGCAGCAGUGGGGAAUUUUGCGCAAUGGGGGAAACCCUGACGCAGCAACGCCGCGUGGAGGAUGAAGUACUUCGGUACGUAAACUCCUUUCGAUCGGGACGAUAAUGACGGUACCGAGAGAAGAAGCCCCGGCUAACUUCGUGCCAGCAGCCGCGGU